Molecule: long non-coding RNA, 4775 nt
Filed under: Ananas comosus (pineapple)
Lineage: Eukaryota; Viridiplantae; Streptophyta; Magnoliopsida; Poales; Bromeliaceae
Description: long non-coding RNA (ACOM_LNC028641)
Source: RNAcentral
CCCCACUCCCCCUCCCAACUUUAACCCCGCAGGCAUCCCGAGCCCUCACAUUUUUCUUCUUUAUCAAUCAUUAUCUUCUUAUCCCACCUACUCCAACCAAACACUUUUUUUCACUAUUCUAGACUAACUCCAACCUUCAACCAAACACAAAAAAAUUUUAACAUCAUUUUAACCAUGAACUUAACCCUAUCCCUGGAAUAGCUAUUUUUUCUUAACCCCGAACCAAACGGUGGCGUAGGAGCUAGUCAUUUUUAGAAUCUUAUAUCACCUGAUAAUUCUAGUAUAUAUUGUCUUGGCUGCUACACCAAUGGGUCUUGAACUCGUAGAAGUCAACUCUAGAAUCUUACAUCAUUAGAUUAUUCUGGUAUAUAUCGUCUAUUCUGCAUAAUGCUCUAAUAGUACAGAAAAAUGAUUGGAUGAGUUUGUAACGCACAAAUAAUCCAAUGAAAAAAUAAUUUUGGUUGAAAUAUAUGAGACAUGACACGCGAAUAAUAAUAAACUGAGCUUAAGUAUUUUUGGCGAUUAGAUUAUUUGGGCAACAACAUUAGAGCAGAGCAUCACAAUUUUAUAAGGCACAUUCUUAUAGAAUUUUUCGUCCUCGUAAAUGAACUGUAGUUGCGUAAUAGGGGAGACUUUAAUAGAAAAGGGUUAUCUCCGUGUUAGGUCACCGACAAAUUAACAAGCAUCAUGCAACUUUUUUUUUUCUCUCUCUCUCUCUCUAUUUUUUUUUUCUUAUAUAUAUANUAUAUAUAUAUAUAUAUAUAUAUAUAUAUUCUUUCAAACUCUUUUCUACUUCUUAUCCAUGUAAAACUAUUCCAAGAUUCAAUCACCCUCUACUUUCCUUUUUUCUUUUUUUCCCUUUUUUUUUCGUUUUUGGUAUUGAUGUGUAGAAGCACGUGGCUUUAAAUUCUUUUAUCUUAUUUUUAACUAGGAUGGUAUAAACUAAUAAAAGAAACGUAAGUACGAGAAAAUAUACACCAGAUCUUUUCUUAAACCAAAAAAGAAAAAUAGAUAGUUGUCUACAGACUAGGUUCUUUUAAAUUCGAUUAUAGAUGCUAUGAAAUAAAAUUUUACACCUUUUACGUCAAGGUGUUAACGAAAACAGAAAAAAAUAGUAUCACCAUUUAUCAAAAAACGUUAUAACAAAUUAUAAAUUUUACUGUUUAAACUCUCUAUAAUUAGUUAUAAUUUAUAAAUAAUCCUGGUCCGUAAGCAAGGUCCACGCAUUAAAAUAUUCAAACAAAAUAAUCAUAUACUUUUUUUUUUUUUCAUUUUUUGCGUCUCACCGACCAAAUAUUAUUUUGGGGCUCGAAACGUUUACAUGUGCCGUGCCGACCAGGUCUUGUGACCGUAACAGAAACAAUUCCAAAAAUAUUUAUUUAAUAUUUUUUUCCAAAACAAAAAAAAAAUUUCCUAAAUUUUGGACCACGUUAAAACAUGCAUGUAUUGACCCAACCAAUUGGACCUUAAAAAAGAUAAUAUAUAAGUUAAAAAAGGGAUGAAAUGUUUGCAUGAUCCAUCUACUAUUCCUAUAUGACAACUUGGUACUUAAUUGCACUUUCGAUUUAAAUAAUUAGGUUAAUUUUAUACAGGUCCCUACAAAUAUAGUGAAUUAUAAAUAUAUUCCUAUAAAGUUCAACUUUUAUAUGUUAUUCCUGCAAAGGUUCUAAUAUUUUCAAAUAUAUCAUUCGGAUUUGUUACCGUUAAAAUACUAUUUAUUUUAUAAGUGAAAUGACCUUUUUACCAUCACAAAUAUAUCCCUCCAAAAGUUUCAAUUAUUAAUUAAAGAGGGAUAAAAAUGUCAAUUCAUCUCAUUAACUAAUUAGGGUUAAGCAUUUUACUUAUGAUUAACUAAUUUUUUCUAACGGAUUCUAAUGACAGAGACAUAUUUGAAAAUAUCAUAAUUUUUGCAGGGACAACAUAUAAAAGUUGAAUUCUGUAGGAAUAUAUUUAUAAUUCACUAUAUUUAUAGGGACAUGUAUGAAAUUAAUCCUAAAUAAUUUAUAUCCGAACUUUGACAUACACUCGUCGGGCGCAAUAUCGAGAUUGUAGAGGGACUAUGUACACAUUUUGUGCUUUUAAAAGGACAUGGAAGUGAAUCUUGUGGAGCCAAAUAAGAUAUCCUAUUCAGACCAAACCGGCCUAGCUAAUUGGAUAGCAAUUUGAGUCAAAAUCAUAGCCUCAUUUUUAGGGCUUAUUCAAUUUAAAAUAGCGUUACUCUCUACCCUUGGCCACAAAAAAGUGUCACAAUAUUGUUUUCAGUCUCCUAAGGGGAGGCCAUGAUAGAAUUUAUGUAUUAAAAAAAAUAAAGGAUAAAAAGAUGCUCACCUUGAUCCGAGUAUGUGGAGUUGUUUUCGAUUAUAUGAUCCUAACUUGGUGUAACACCACGUUAAAUUGCGCUAAAUAAUUAAGUAUAUAUUCAUGCAUACAAGGUUUCACGAAUAUUAUUGUCACAUCUAUAGUUUGAAAAUGUGAUCAGGAGUCGCUAUUUUGAGAGCUUAGACUUUGUAUCAUUAGGUCGUUUUGGAAUAGAUUGAACAAAAGCGAUGGAGUUUAUGUUGAAAUUUUAUAAAAAACUAAGAUUGUACCUUUUAUCAUGAUUUCGAUUUCUGUACCCGAAUUAUUGACGGUGAUUCUUUCUUGUAGUUCGUCCUCGUUUGCGAUCUGCAAAGUAGCAAAACGUUUCGAGUCUAAUUCUCUUAUCCUCGGAGAUGGAGCCGUCACAGACAAUUGGAUUAGGGUUAGACCGGGACUCCCGUAUGUUACAUAUUUAUAUAUAACCUAAUCAUAAGAUCUAUCGUAUCUUUAUAGAUCGACUUAAAUAGAUUGACUGUAUCUAUAUGGAUCGCCUUAAAUAUAUAUCACGUGGGCCACAUCCAACAGUUUACCAAUAUCUUUUAAAAGAUUCGUCGAAAAGAAGUAUAAUUUCGACUUGCUUAUUAUCUGAAAAUAAAAGCUUGUUUUCGGCCUCGAUGUUGUUUUUAUUUUUCGAUUAAAGUAACUAUUCUCAUUUUUGUUACAUGCCUACACUGAUACACUCUUCAAAUAAAGACAUUGUGUUUCCUUUUUCUUGAAUUAUUGUUAUAUAUUUUAAUUAGAAAUGACUCUCCACAAUUUGAGUUUCUUUUUUUGUUUUUUAAAAAAUGGUGUUCUUGAGAAAGCAUAUAUUGAAAAAAGAGCAUAUAUUGAAAAAAGAGGAUCUCCAAACUUAGUCAUUAUAUAUUGAUUGAAUUUGACAAUAUCUGAUAAAUAUAGUUUGCCCAUAAUAAAAUGAAUCAGUUAGUUCAAAAUCUAGUUGUUUUAUAUUUUCUGCUAGGCUCAUUUGAAAAUGUUGUUGUUUGAUUUGCUCUUAUACCAAUUGUUGGAACUAGUAUUUGUGCUGAUACCAAUUAUAUAACUUAAGAUGUAAAAUCGAAUAAAAUAAUAUGGAGUAGAGAUAUUGGAGGAGGAAGAAAAUAACUAAACUAAUACUUUAUUAAUAAAAGGCAAAAUUACAUUCUGAUACCAAUUGUUAGAAGCGUAAUUUUCUCUAAUACCACUUGUUGUUGUUUGAUUUGCUCUAAUACCAUUUGUUGGAACGAAAGAAGUAUAAAACUAAAUCUUUAUUAAAUAUUCUUAGACUAAAUUUCUAUGGUGGAUAAUUUUUCACACAUUUAUAGCCGUCUAUAUACAGGCAUAAAUCAAAAUUCUAAUAACAAUAAUUAAACAAGAUUUAAACUUAUCUCUUAUGUCUAACCAACAAAAUAUUAAGAGAUAAACUUGACAGAAAUAAAUCUAAAUUAAUAAAAAAUAUUGGGUUACUUAUCAACAGAAAAAGAAAAAAGAAAAAAGAAUGAAGCGAAAAGCAUAUUACCUUUUUCUUUCUAAAAAAAAAAUGAAUCAAUUAAUAUCAUUAAUUUCCAAAAAUGAAAGAAAAAACCUAACUAUAUAAUUGCACUAAUAAUAGGCAAUUUUACUCUAAUUUGUGUGGCUUUGAACUUUCUCUAAUUCCUCAUUUCUCUUCCCUUCUAGUGGGGCUCUAUGCAACUAAAUAUAAAUUAAUUGCAUCAACCCCACCUGAUCCCUUGUGUUUUCACAAUAAAAGGAGACAUCAAAUGUGGGGUUUCUCCACUUUCUUGUUUUUUUUUUUCACUUUUUUUGUUUUUUCUUUUUAAACUUUUUUUUUUUUCUUUUAAUGGUCCCCUCCUCAUUAUUAACACUAUUUAAAUUUAAAAGUAUUGCAGGGAUAUGUAACCCUUUGUUAGAGAACCAACCAUUUUGUUUAUUUCCUUAACUCCUUUCUUUCUUUAUCUUUUCUCUCAUUCAAUGAUUGUUUGCCAAAUCUUAACAACAUAUGGUUUAGUUUCUUAGCAAUGAAGAUAAUGACCAACUCCACCAACUAUUAAUUCUAGAGUAUUAAAUUAUUUUAACACAUCGUUUAAGGCAUAAAUGUUUAAAAUUAAGUAGGUGAAUCUCUCUCUCUCUCUCUCUCUCUCUCACACUCACACACACACACACACACAUUUAAAAGCUUAAAGGAUUUAUCAAAACUCAAACACAAGGCUUUUUAUGGUAAUAUAUACUAUAUUAACAAAAAUGUAAAAAUUUAUGAAUGAUUUUGCGUGAAUUAUUGUUUGUUGUUCAUUAGCGAAAAUAGUUAUCGCUUUUGUUCGAAGACUCUGCAUCAAUACUUUUGUAUGAAUUUUUAGUAUACCAUCAAAGUAUUGAUAAAGAGUUCGCUACAUAAUAAGGCUUACUUUAAUUAGAUCUUAUUGAAAAAUAUUAGGUAGAAACUA